Molecule: ribosomal RNA, 2902 nt
Filed under: Klebsiella pneumoniae
Lineage: Bacteria; Pseudomonadati; Pseudomonadota; Gammaproteobacteria; Enterobacterales; Enterobacteriaceae
Also listed under: 1 other name
Description: 23S ribosomal RNA
Rfam family: Bacterial large subunit ribosomal RNA
Source: RNAcentral
GGUUAAGCGACUAAGCGUACACGGUGGAUGCCCUGGCAGUCAGAGGCGAUGAAGGACGUGCUAAUCUGCGAAAAGCGUCGGUAAGGUGAUAUGAACCGUUAUAACCGGCGAUGUCCGAAUGGGGAAACCCAGUGCAAUUCGUUGCACUAUCGUUAACUGAAUACAUAGGUUAACGAGGCGAACCGGGGGAACUGAAACAUCUAAGUACCCCGAGGAAAAGAAAUCAACCGAGAUUCCCCCAGUAGCGGCGAGCGAACGGGGAGCAGCCCAGAGUCUGAAUCAGCUUGUGUGUUAGUGGAACGGUCUGGAAAGUCCGACGGUACAGGGUGAUAGUCCCGUACACCAAAAUGCACAGGCUGUGAACUCGAAGAGUAGGGCGGGACACGUGGUAUCCUGUCUGAAUAUGGGGGGACCAUCCUCCAAGGCUAAAUACUCCUGACUGACCGAUAGUGAACCAGUACCGUGAGGGAAAGGCGAAAAGAACCCCGGCGAGGGGAGUGAAAAAGAACCUGAAACCGUGUACGUACAAGCAGUGGGAGCACCUUCGGGUGUGACUGCGUACCUUUUGUAUAAUGGGUCAGCGACUUAUAUUCUGUAGCAAGGUUAACCGUAUAGGGGAGCCGCAGGGAAACCGAGUCUUAACUGGGCGUUAAGUUGCAGGGUAUAGACCCGAAACCCGGUGAUCUAGCCAUGGGCAGGUUGAAGGUUGGGUAACACUAACUGGAGGACCGAACCGACUAAUGUUGAAAAAUUAGCGGAUGACUUGUGGCUGGGGGUGAAAGGCCAAUCAAACCGGGAGAUAGCUGGUUCUCCCCGAAAGCUAUUUAGGUAGCGCCUCGUGAACUCAUCUUCGGGGGUAGAGCACUGUUUCGGCUAGGGGGUCAUCCCGACUUACCAACCCGAUGCAAACUACGAAUACCGAAGAAUGUUAUCACGGGAGACACACGGCGGGUGCUAACGUCCGUCGUGAAGAGGGAAACAACCCAGACCGCCAGCUAAGGUCCCAAAGUCAUGGUUAAGUGGGAAACGAUGUGGGAAGGCACAGACAGCCAGGAUGUUGGCUUAGAAGCAGCCAUCAUUUAAAGAAAGCGUAAUAGCUCACUGGUCGAGUCGGCCUGCGCGGAAGAUGUAACGGGGCUAAACCAUGCACCGAAGCUGCGGCAGCGACACUAUGUGUUGUUGGGUAGGGGAGCGUUCUGUAAGCCUGCGAAGGUGACCUGUGAGGGUUGCUGGAGGUAUCAGAAGUGCGAAUGCUGACAUAAGUAACGAUAAAGCGGGUGAAAAGCCCGCUCGCCGGAAGACCAAGGGUUCCUGUCCAACGUUAAUCGGGGCAGGGUGAGUCGACCCCUAAGGCGAGGCCGAAAGGCGUAGUCGAUGGGAAACAGGUUAAUAUUCCUGUACUUGGUGUUACUGCGAAGGGGGGACGGAGAAGGCUAUGUUAGCCGGGCGACGGUUGUCCCGGUUUAAGCAUGUAGGCUGGUUGUCCAGGCAAAUCCGGAUAAUCAAGGCUGAGGUGUGAUGACGAGGCACUACGGUGCUGAAGUAACAAAUGCCCUGCUUCCAGGAAAAGCCUCUAAGCAUCAGGUAACAUCAAAUCGUACCCCAAACCGACACAGGUGGUCAGGUAGAGAAUACCAAGGCGCUUGAGAGAACUCGGGUGAAGGAACUAGGCAAAAUGGUGCCGUAACUUCGGGAGAAGGCACGCUGGUGUGUAGGUGAAGUCCCUGCGGAUGGAGCUGAGACCAGUCGAAGAUACCAGCUGGCUGCAACUGUUUAUUAAAAACACAGCACUGUGCAAACACGAAAGUGGACGUAUACGGUGUGACGCCUGCCCGGUGCCGGAAGGUUAAUUGAUGGGGUUAUCCGUAAGGAGAAGCUCUUGAUCGAAGCCCCGGUAAACGGCGGCCGUAACUAUAACGGUCCUAAGGUAGCGAAAUUCCUUGUCGGGUAAGUUCCGACCUGCACGAAUGGCGUAAUGAUGGCCAGGCUGUCUCCACCCGAGACUCAGUGAAAUUGAACUCGCUGUGAAGAUGCAGUGUACCCGCGGCAAGACGGAAAGACCCCGUGAACCUUUACUAUAGCUUGACACUGAACAUUGAGCCUUGAUGUGUAGGAUAGGUGGGAGGCUUUGAAGCGUGGACGCCAGUCUGCGUGGAGCCAACCUUGAAAUACCACCCUUUAAUGUUUGAUGUUCUAACGUUGGCCCCUUACCGGGGUUGCGGACAGUGUCUGGUGGGUAGUUUGACUGGGGCGGUCUCCUCCCAAAGCGUAACGGAGGAGCACGAAGGUUAGCUAAUCCUGGUCGGACAUCAGGAGGUUAGUGCAAUGGCAUAAGCUAGCUUGACUGCGAGCGUGACGGCGCGAGCAGGUGCGAAAGCAGGUCAUAGUGAUCCGGUGGUUCUGAAUGGAAGGGCCAUCGCUCAACGGAUAAAAGGUACUCCGGGGAUAACAGGCUGAUACCGCCCAAGAGUUCAUAUCGACGGCGGUGUUUGGCACCUCGAUGUCGGCUCAUCACAUCCUGGGGCUGAAGUAGGUCCCAAGGGUAUGGCUGUUCGCCAUUUAAAGUGGUACGCGAGCUGGGUUUAGAACGUCGUGAGACAGUUCGGUCCCUAUCUGCCGUGGGCGCUGGAGAAUUGAGGGGGGCUGCUCCUAGUACGAGAGGACCGGAGUGGACGCAUCACUGGUGUUCGGGUUGUCAUGCCAAUGGCACUGCCCGGUAGCUAAAUGCGGAAGAGAUAAGUGCUGAAAGCAUCUAAGCACGAAACUUGCCCCGAGAUGAGUUCUCCCUGAGACUAUAAGUCUCCUGAAGGAACGUUGAAGACGACGACGUUGAUAGGCCGGGUGUGUAAGCGCAGCGAUGCGUUGAGCUAACCGGUACUAAUGAACCGUGAGGCUUAACCUU